This 480-nucleotide ribosomal RNA is filed under the name uncultured bacterium. RNAcentral's name for it is "bacterial SSU rRNA". It matches the Rfam family "Bacterial small subunit ribosomal RNA", at positions 32 to 524 of the family's 1533-position model. The record is from RNAcentral.
AAUCAACGCUGGCGGCGUGCCUAACACAUGCAAGUCGAACGCGAAAGCCCGCAAGGGUAAGUAGAGUGGCGCACGGGUGAGUAACACGUGGACAACCUGCCUUCGAGUGGGGAAUAACCUUCCGAAAGGAGGGCUAAUACCGCAUAACACCUCGGGACACAAGUUCUGGGGUUGAAAAGAGCAAUUUGCUCGAAGAGGGGUCCGCGCCUGAUUAGCUAGUUGGUGAGGUAACGGCUCACCAAGGCUUCGAUCAGUAGCCGUCCUGAGAGGGAGCACGGCCACACUGGAACUGAGACACGGUCCAGACUCCUACGGGAGGCAGCAGUGGGGAAUUUUUGGCAAUGGGCGAAAGCCUGACCAAGCAACGCCGCGUGGGUGAUGAAGUAUCUUGGUACGUAAAACCCUUUCGGCAGGGACGAACCUAAUGACGGUACCUGCGGAAGAAGCCCCGGCUAACUCCGUGCCAGCAGCCGCAGUAAC